UACGUAGGGUGCAAGCGUUGUCCGGAAUUAUUGGGCGUAAAGAGCUUGUAGGCGGUUUGUCGCGUCUGCUGUGAAAUUUCGGGGCUCAACCCCGAACUUGCAGUGGGUACGGGCAGACUAGAGUGUGGUAGGGGAGACUGGAAUUCCUGGUGUAGCGGUGAAAUGCGCAGAUAUCAGGAGGAACACCAAUAGCGAAGGCAGCUCGCUGGGACGGUAUUGACGCUGAGGCGCGAAAGCGUGGGGAGCAAACAGG
Molecule: ribosomal RNA, 253 nt
Filed under: uncultured bacterium
Lineage: Bacteria
Description: partial 16S ribosomal RNA
Rfam family: Bacterial small subunit ribosomal RNA
Source: RNAcentral